Molecule: ribosomal RNA, 253 nt
Filed under: uncultured bacterium
Lineage: Bacteria
Description: partial 16S ribosomal RNA
Rfam family: Bacterial small subunit ribosomal RNA
Source: RNAcentral
CACGUAGGGCGCGAGCGUUGUCCGGAAUUAUUGGGCGUAAAGAGCUCGUAGGCGGCCUGUUGCGUCCGCUGUGAAAGCCCGGGGCUUAACCCCGGGUCGGCAGUGGAUACGGGCAGGCUAGAGGUAGGUAGGGGAGAAUGGAAUUCCCGGUGUAGCGGUGAAAUGCGCAGAUAUCGGGAGGAACACCGGUGGCGAAGGCGGUUCUCCGGGCCUUACCUGACGCUGAGGAGCGAAAGCGUGGGGAGCGAACAGG